ACUGAUUAAAAAAUGAUAGUUUCUUAAUUUUUUCUCAAAUUCGUUGAAAAUUAUUAUUCCUUGAGGAUCUAAUGGAAAAUACAUUGAAAAUCCGUCGAAAUUUAAGUUUCGUCAAAAAUGAAAGUUCUAUUCUGAUUUUUUUUGGCAAAAAAAAAAAAAACACAUUACUAAAUUGUUACAUGUUACAUGAUGAAGAUAUAAUGUGUCCAACUUCCAUAUAACUUUUUUAAAAAAC
Molecule: long non-coding RNA, 235 nt
Filed under: Capsella rubella
Lineage: Eukaryota; Viridiplantae; Streptophyta; Magnoliopsida; Brassicales; Brassicaceae
Description: long non-coding RNA (CRUB_LNC002291)
Source: RNAcentral